This 1174-nucleotide unclassified non-coding RNA is filed under the name Stylophora pistillata. RNAcentral's name for it is "uncharacterized LOC111322485, transcript variant X1". Lineage: Eukaryota; Metazoa; Cnidaria; Anthozoa; Scleractinia; Pocilloporidae. The record is from RNAcentral.
UACAUUAGAAUAUUAGUGGAUAUGUACAGAGGAAUCAUGUAUUUUGCCACUCGCUCACUGACACUUAUUUUUCUAUUUUCUUGGGUUACUGCGAGAGGGGAGGCUUUGCUUAACCCAGACGGCAGUAUUACUCAGCCAAAUAAAACUGUUAAUAUAUCGGAGGAUCAGAUGGAGUUAACCCUCUGGGCAAACAUCACUCUCCCAGUCGACACCGUGUCGGUUGGAAAUAUUAUGGUUUUCGUCUACGAUGCAAAUGGUCUUGGUGGCCGCCUCAUUUCUCGACUCGCAAAUACUUCUGGAAUCUCUCAAGCCUCACCAGACGCGCAGAUGAUUCACGAACUUAGGUUGGAGAAGGCCAAUAUCACUUUAACCUCUAAGGUUACAAAAAACCCUACCACCAAUCAGUCUCAAGUUGGUUCAGAAUUCAAAAUCCAUUUAACUGGGUCGACACUUUACCAGCAUUUCUUUGUGAUACAAAAGGUUCUAUUUGUAGUAACCUCUUACAGCAAACUUGGUGAAGCGGAUGAUCAUCAAAAUGACCAACUCUUCUUGAUGUUUUACACUAAGUCGGGUGUGACCAGCCAAGACAAUGAAACCACCAAUAAACCAAUAGCUACAGAAGCUACAACUCCAGUGUUGCCAUUGGCUAGUACUAAUAUGUCAGUACAGGACACCAUAAAGAAAAUAUAUUCAACUACCAUGGAAGUUGUGCCUUCAGUAAUAUUGAGAACUGUAUCAGCAAGUGCCCAAACAACUGUUACAUCACCAAUUUCAGUUAUACCAACUUUUGUAAGCCUUAAUAUGUCUCCAAGAGUUUGCAAAACUGUUAGCCCCUCAAACACAGUUUGGUCCACAUUUAAUAUUGCAUCUGCAAGUGAUCAAAAUACUGUUGGGCCACCAACAACUACAGGUAUGGUUAAAUUGUGUAUUGUUUGUUAAAUCCUUGUUAACCUCACCCUGUGACUAUUAGGGAGAAUUUAAAUGGCCACUUGAGGGUUCUCGUGUUUCAGUACCUGAUCUGGUGCCAAAAUUACAGCACAAGAACAAGGUUAAGAGUGAAGUCCCUUGGCAUCAGUGUAAUGAAUAAGGAGACCUGGUAAUGAAAAGAACAGAUAGUUCAAGUAAUCGAGCAGUGGCAAUUGGUGUUUCCUUUGCUGUAUUAGUUAUAAUUGUG